CGAGUUGUUGAAUAGAUAGUGUGAGCUCUGACUUGAACUUCCAACCAUCAUAAACUUUCAAUGAUCUACAAGAAAUCAAACAUAAAGGAUGUAAGCAAAUAUUUGCUUAGUAAGUUCGUAAUAAACUUAAACAAUUUGCAAUUAGCAAGAUCAUGAGUUCAUUAUUAAUCUACACAUAUCACAAGUCUCACAAGGUCAAUGAGUUCACAUAUACGAAACUUAUAACCUUAUUAUGUUAUAAGACAUAUACAAGUAAACACAUUAGAUAUAUCAUUCAUUCAACACCUAUUCAUUUAACAUUUCACAUUUACAUUUAAAGUGUUCAUUUCAAAAUUCCAUUUUUACAUAUCUAUCCAUAUAAACAUUUCGAAUAACUCUCUCAUAUAACCAUUUCAUAUUACACAUUUAACACAUAAUCAUUUUGUAAAUCAAAUUUCAAUUUCUCCAUUCAAUGUCUCAUUCCAUAUAACUGUUUUAUAUACCCAUUUCACUUUAUACAUUUAACAACAAUGUUAAUAAACAUUCAUCCUAUCAACCAAAAUCAUUCAACAAAUGAGUUCUAUUUACACGAGUUGCAUAAUCUAAUCAGUCAUAUAAGAUCAUUCAACACCAAGUCACGAUAUAAUAUCGGAAAUCAUGUAAACAUUUAUAUAAUUUAUUAGCAAGUCAUUUAACCAUUUAAAAUAUACCCGAUGAACGAUAUAAACAGAUACGGAUACGCGGUUAUUCACCCAAGACACGCUAGAAAGCUCAAACAAGCCAAACCAGCUGAAAACACGCAUGGGCACCAAGUGUCUAGCCCAUAGGCUAACAUCCACCCUCGAUAACAUGCUAGAAUUACUGUAAAUAUAACACGAUAGUCCUCAACAAAUGUUGGACUCCGAUAUAUUCAGUAGAUAAUAAUAAGUUAGGAAUCAUUAUCUCAUCACAAGUCAAUCCCGUAUAGCGCACAAUAUAACCUAUUGGCAUGCCAAUUGUAUUCUAUCCUAUGUUCAUCCGAGCUCGAUACACGUAAUCAUAUAACAGUUUACAUUUCAAUCCAUUUUCUCACCAAUUCAAUCGUAAUAUUUCAGAUAUAACCAAUGUCAUCAAAUUACAUAAUUUUUAAUAAUAACAUUACUAAAAUACACAAAAUAAUACCAUAUGAACUUACCUAAACACAAUGGCUACGAACACUUCAAUGAUAAUUACUUGACGACUUUUCCUUUCCUGCAAUUAUCAAUCGAUUGAUCCAUUUCUUAAUCUAAAUAUAAUAAUUUAAUUCAAUUGUUCCAUUCAAAUACUUUAAAAUACUUAAAUUCAUGUAUUUUACCCUUUAUCAAUAUUUUAUACUUUUACCCUAAACUUUCAUCUUUUAUUCAAUUUAGUCCCUAAACUCGAAACUUCAAAUUAAACAUAAUUAAACUCAAUUCAUGCUGACUGAAUUUUCCAUAGUCCCUAUACAACCCAUAUUUAUUACAUUUUCACAAGCUUAUAAACAUAUCAUCAAACUUCAAAAACAUCACAAAUUCAUCAAUGACAUAAAUUAUAACAUUUAACAAUUUUACAAAUUAAUUCUUAAAUUAACUAGAUUAAACUACAACGAUCUCAAAAACAUAAAAAUCAUUAAAAAUAGAAUAAAAAUACAUGCAAUGAAUUUUAUUGAUAGCCGAAACUUUGGUGUUCUUCAACCACGGCUUUUGAUGAAGGAAGGUUGAAGAAAGUGAAUAAAAACAAUAAUGAAAUGGCCAUUUUUCUUGUUUUUGUUUUUAUUACCUUUUUAACAUUAUUAAAUUAUAAUAUAAUAUAUAAUUUUAUAUAUAAACCAUUAAUAAAUCGUCCAACAUAAAUGAUUAUGGCUUAUUUGUCAAAUAAAAUAAUCGAACAAGUCAUUUAAACUCAUUUAACCCUUAUAAAUUAAUAGUGAUUAACUUAUUUAAUUUUUAUGAUUUUGUUUUUUUUACUAAAUGAACUAUUAAAAUGUUAAAAUUUUUCGAGCAAAUUUCAAUACACUUAUAUAAUAAAUUCGUAAAUAUUUAAUAAAAUAUAAAUCCGUAAAUAUUUAAUACACCUAUAUAAAUAUUUAUGGAUUCAGUUUACAGAAACGAGGUCCCGAAACCUCAUUUUUCAAAACCACUUAGCUUUAGAGACAAAUCACUUGAACUUAACUAUUCAUUCUAUUAAUAAAAUUAUCAAAUCAAAAUUCAUAUAAUACUAUUUUUUUACUCGUAAAUAUUAACUAAUAAUAUUUACAAACUCACUCGUUGGAUUUGUGGCAUUGAAACCACUAUUUUCGACGCCACUAAAAAACAGGCUAGUUACAACAUUAUUUAAAGAAAAACAAUAAUAUUUUUGUAAAAAAAAUUUGUUGGAGUCCUAAAUUAAUUUACAAACCAACAACUUAAACAAAAUCUUUAAAUAUAUCAUUUCAUUUGAAAUAAGAUUAAACUAUAAAAAUAAUCGUUUAUAUUUAUUUAAAUUUACGUGAUCAUUAAAUUUUUAAUUGUUCCCAGCUUAAAUAAAGAUGUUGCAAUAUGAAUAUUGACAAACUUGGAAUGCGACAGAAAAACCGGUUGUCCAAUAGAUUCAAGAAGUUUAAGUUCAGACAAGAUGAGAUUUCACGACCAAUGUCAUCAGAAAACUUGUUGGCGGAGGC
This 2635-nucleotide long non-coding RNA is filed under the name Gossypium barbadense (sea-island cotton). Its description in RNAcentral is "long non-coding RNA (GBAR_LNC018682)". Lineage: Eukaryota; Viridiplantae; Streptophyta; Magnoliopsida; Malvales; Malvaceae. The record is from RNAcentral.